RNAcentral lists this ribosomal RNA (253 nucleotides) under uncultured bacterium. RNAcentral's name for it is "partial 16S ribosomal RNA". It matches the Rfam family "Bacterial small subunit ribosomal RNA", at positions 524 to 776 of the family's 1533-position model. The record is from RNAcentral.
UACAGAGGUCCCAAGCGUUGUUCGGAUUCACUGGGCUUAAAGGGCGCGUAGGCGGGCGGUCAAGUCGGGGGUGAAAUCUUUCAGCUUAACUGGAAACGUGCCUUCGAUACUGAUCGUCUUGAGGGAGGUAGGGGCAUGUGGAACUUCCGGUGGAGCGGUGAAAUGCGUAGAUAUCGGAAGGAACGCCGGUGGCGAAAGCGACGUGCUGGACCUCUUCUGACGCUGAGGCGCGAAAGCUAGGGGAGCAAACGGG